UGCUUCUCUCUGAAUCUAAGUAAUGUGAAAUAAAGUGGUAGAAAGGUCUGUAGACAAUCAAUACAGAAUUUCAAGAAGUUCUGGUAGUAGGAGAUCUAGGCUAGUUUCUGGCCAGCAUUCAUCAUGGAGGUCUACCAGCAGGUACCAAAACCACAACGUUGAGGAGGAGGACUCCAUUCUCUGGAAAGAUCCCUUAGGUGUGGAUUGAAAAGCUAGACGUGGUUUCAUUGGCAUAGAGAGCUCCUAAUGAAGGAAGGAAGAAAGGAAUGAGAAAGUGGUCACAUUUUGAAGUUGUGGAUUUGGGGGAGAAGUCUGCAAUGGAGAGAAACAAGAUAAGACAAAUGAUCUACUUGAGAGGAAGAAAAAGAAAGAACUUUGAUUUAAAGGGCAAGCAAAGAAGUACUAUUGCUUAUUGAUAUUCUGAAUAGAACAGAGAUGAAAACUUUAUACAUUAUAUAUGCUUUUCAUAAAUUGUUCAUAUAUGAACCAAUGUGAGAUUUAUGCCACAUAUUUAACAUGUGACAGGUAUUCUAUUUCAUAUAUGCCAUCCAUUUCAUAUAUGGCAAUUAUGUUGUAUGUUCCCUAUAUUACACAUUCUCCAGGAUUGUUAGUAUCCAAUUUCCUGCCUCCAUACAUUUGCACAGGCUUUUUUCUGUCCCUAGAAUAUUCUCCCUUCUUAGUACCUCUUUGAGGUUUAUCUCAUGGGCCAAAUCAUUCAAGAAGAUACCCUAUUUCCCCAGGUUUUGAGUGUCCCCAUCAAAUCUCUGUGUGUUUAAUUUAUAAAAAUCUUAUACAUUCUUAUCAGUGAUUUCACUGCAUCCUCCUAAUCAAAAUAUACAACUACUAGCAAUAAAAAUUACCUAGAUUAGGUGCAUACCUCUCAGGAAAUGCCUCAAAGGCUUACUUCUGCCUGGUGUAACCUUUCUAUAAACAGCCUCAUAAUGUCUAAGGGUUUUGACCCCCAAGGAGCCUUGUGUCGCUGAAACUGAAUUUUUAUUUUACAGUUGAGUUGAGAGUAUCCCAAGUGCAACUUGUGAAAGUAAACCUUGGUGCCAAAAUUGCUGAUGAUAAGCUCUGGAGUAUUGGACUAAUGAGGUCACAGGACCAUCAGAGUAAUGGUUCUCAAAAAUAUGCUCUGGAAAUCCCUAGGCCAAAAUAUUUUCAUAGUGAGGUCAAAAUAUUUUCAUAAGAGGGGCAGCUAGGUGGUACACUGGAUAGAGCACUGGCUCUGGAGUCAGGAGGACCUGAGUUCAAAUCCAGCUUCAGACAAUUAACACUAGCUGUGUGACCAUGGGCAAGUCACUUAACCCCAAUUGCCUCAGUUAAAAACAAAACAAAACAAAAUAUUUUCAUAAGAAUACUGAGACUUAAAAAUUUCUAAUGUGAUAAACAUCAAUAGAUAUGAUCCAAAGCAAAUUUGGGGGAAGUUCAUAAUAAUCUAUGAGAUUGUAAAGGGGACCUGAGACAAAAAGUAUACCCAUAUAUAGAAAGGAAGUCUUUAAAUUCUUGGUACCUUCCUUCUAGAUAAGGAUUUCAGCUCUGAAUUCAAAAGCUCAGAUUUCAUAGCUGCUGGGAGAUUAUUUUUAAGAGCUUUGAAAAUAAAAAAAAGGCAAUCCAGUAACUUUGCUGACAGGAUUUUUGUUGUUUAAGUCAAGUUAUUCUUUUGAAGUUUUAGAAAUAUUAACUCAUGUUAAAUAGCAGCUCUCUUGUUUUCACUUGGGGACUAAAUUUUGUUUAGUUUGUAAUUGACAUGAAUUUUUAGAACCAUAAAUAUUAUUUUGUUCUAUAGCAUACCUGGAAGUUUUGGAUUUUGGCCAUGGAAUUACUGCGUGUAACAGAGAAUGAGAUAUGCAUUGUCAAACAUAGCUACCUUGUUGAUUUGUUUUUUUUUUUUUUUUUGGACUACACAUAUUUGAGAGAGAGUGCUGAUAAUAUAAUUGCAGGAAUUGAAAUUGGGAAUUGGCAAAAAAAAGACUUGGUUAAAUAUAUUUAAAAUGCAUAGAAAAUUGUAAAAAAGGCAGAAGGGAACAAUACAAUUUUUUGCCAUUUUUAAAAAAAAUUUGUUAAUGAUUGUGGCUUGCAAAAAAUAAGUAUCUUCUAUUCCUUGGCUGCAUAAAUUCCUCUGAACAUUUUGAAAUCAAACACAUUGUUGCUUUCCUAAAAAUGAAAUAUGUGGAAAAAAAAGUUUUUUAAGUGAGUAGUGAAGUUGUGUCCUUUCCAUAAAAUUAUUUCCAUAGUAUUUCAAAGGAUCUAAUUACAGAGAAAUGCAAUCUGCUACAUUAUUCUUACAUGUAUAUGUUGUUUUUUCUUUUUUUUUUGGUAGGGCAAUGAGGGUUAAGUGACACACAGCUAGUAAGUGUCAAGUGUCUGAGGCUGGAUUUGAACUCAGGUCCUCCUGAAUCCAGGACCAGUGCUCUAUCCACUGUGCCACCUAGCUGCCCCUUACCUGUUGUUUUAAUCCAAAAUAUUUAAGUGGGACAUCUAGGUGGCACAGUGGAUAGAGCACUGGCCCUGGAUUCAGGAGGACCUGAGUUCAAAUCCAGCCUUAGACACUUGACACUUACUAGCUAUGUGACCCUGGGCAAGUCACUUAACCCCAAUUGCCUCACCAAAAUAAAAAAAUUCAAAAAAAGACAAUAAGAACAACAACAACUCUCUUGGCUAAUUAUGAUAAAAUUUAUAUACUUUGAUUAUAUAGAGGAAAUGGUGUAAACAUUUCAAAAGAUAAGGUUAAAGACAAAUGAAUACAAAUAACUGUAGUUGAGUAAUACUGUCUUUAUCAUUGUACUAAUAUGUAUGUCUUGCUAAAGCAGUGAGGAAGAUUAACAAUUCUCAAACACCAAAAUUCUUGGGGGAAAAUUCAAUAAUUAAAUUAAGAUUGCCAAAUAAUCACCAGGACUUGGAGAAACUAUAGUCAUGAAAGCCAAUUUAUUUAUUUAUUUUUUAACAUUUGGAGUAUAGUUCUUGUGAUCAGUUUAAAAACAAAUCUUGCAAAAUGAAGAUAACUGGGCUUUGUAGUUCCAUUUGAUUCUUGAGCCAAAAAAUUUGGCUGGCUCUUGUGUACAGCUGCCUUUGGUAAAUUACAAAAAAAAAAUAAAAAAU
This is a long non-coding RNA of Dromiciops gliroides (monito del monte), 3102 nucleotides long. RefSeq lists it as uncharacterized. The transcript is spliced from 3 exons. NCBI's taxonomy places the organism in Eukaryota, Metazoa, Chordata, Mammalia, Microbiotheria, Microbiotheriidae. The record is from RefSeq and is a predicted model, not a curated record.